Molecule: microRNA precursor, 119 nt
Filed under: Trifolium pratense (red clover)
Lineage: Eukaryota; Viridiplantae; Streptophyta; Magnoliopsida; Fabales; Fabaceae
Description: pre miRNA mir-399
Rfam family: mir-399 microRNA precursor family
About the family: mir-399 was identified in both Arabidopsis thaliana and Oryza sativa computationally and was later experimentally verified. mir-399 is thought to target mRNAs coding for a phosphatase transporter. The mature sequence is excised from the 3' arm of the hairpin.
Source: RNAcentral
AGUUGCAUUACAGGGUGAGUUCUCCAUUGGCAGGUAGCUAGCCACUAUGUAUCAAAUGCAAUUGAUAUCUCUUAGUGUGUAAUUAAUCUGCCAAAGGAGAUUUGCCCAGUGAUUCUCCU